GCCCAGAUGGUGAAAUUGGUAGACACGCUACUUUGAGGGGGUAGUGCCUGUUUAAGGCGUGCAAGUUCGAGUCUUGUUCUGGGCA
This 85-nucleotide transfer RNA is filed under the name Alistipes sp. CAG:831. It matches the Rfam family "tRNA". Rfam says of the family: Transfer RNA (tRNA) molecules are approximately 80 nucleotides in length. Their secondary structure includes four short double-helical elements and three loops (D, anti-codon, and T loops). RNAcentral also lists the same sequence under 3 other names. Lineage: Bacteria; Pseudomonadati; Bacteroidota; Bacteroidia; Bacteroidales; Rikenellaceae. The record is from Rfam by way of RNAcentral.